UACGUAGGUCCCGAGCGUUGUCCGGAUUUAUUGGGCGUAAAGCGAGCGCAGGCGGUUUAAUAAGUCUGAAGUUAAAGGCAGUGGCUUAACCAUUGUUCGCUUUGGAAACUGUUAGACUUGAGUGCAGAAGGGGAGAGUGGAAUUCCAUGUGUAGCGGUGAAAUGCAUAGAUAUAUGGAGGAACACCGGUGGCGAAAGCGGCUCUCUGGUCUGUAACUGACGCUGAGGCUCGAAAGCGUGGGGAGCAAACA
This 250-nucleotide ribosomal RNA is filed under the name uncultured Streptococcus sp. Its description in RNAcentral is "partial 16S ribosomal RNA". It matches the Rfam family "Bacterial small subunit ribosomal RNA", at positions 524 to 774 of the family's 1533-position model. The record is from RNAcentral. Lineage: Bacteria; Bacillati; Bacillota; Bacilli; Lactobacillales; Streptococcaceae.